Long non-coding RNA from Cornus florida, 5766 nucleotides. RefSeq lists it as uncharacterized. The transcript is spliced from 2 exons. The record is from RefSeq and is a predicted model, not a curated record. Lineage: Eukaryota; Viridiplantae; Streptophyta; Magnoliopsida; Cornales; Cornaceae.
ACUCUUUUACUUUCAGUUCCUCUUAAUUCAAGCUCUUCAUUUCUGGAGCCCCUCUUACUUGAAGGAGCUACUUUUAGAGCUCUUCCUACUUCAAAGAGCUCAAGGGUCCUCCACCUCUAGAGCCACUCCUACUUUAAGUAGGUCGAGGGCCCUCUCAACCUUUAGAGUUCCUCCUACUUUAAGGAGCUCAAGGGCUCUUCACUUUCGGAGCUCAUACUUCAAAUACCUUAAAGGCAUUUUACUUUCACAGCUCCUCAUAUAUUAAAGAGUGAACAAAUUGACAGAACUUGAAGAGACUCGUAAUUAAUGCAUCUAGGCAACAGAUGUUUUAUAAUUUAAAUCCCUCUUAAGGACCUCUACCUCCAUAACUCCUCUUACUUCAAGGAGCUCAAGAUCCCUCCACCUUCAGAGCUCCUUUAAGGGCCCUUUACCUUGAUAGUUCUUUCUAAUACAAGAAGCUCAAAGACCCUUUACCUUCAUAGUUCCUCUUACCUUGGGGUUCUUGGUUGUAUAAAUUGCUCGUAUCGAGGAGAUCCUUUCUACAAAUAAACCUCAGAGAUGAAAUGAAGGCUUCUGCGGAGUUCUUCGCUACGGAUAAACCUUAGAGAUUAAUGAAGGCCUCUAGGGAGUUCCUCUUUUAAGGAUAAACCCUGGAGAUGAAAUGAAUGAUUCUAAGGAGUUCCCUUACAAAUAAACCUCAUAGAUGAAAUGAAGGCCUUUAGGGAGUUUCUCCAUCAGAAAAACCCCAAAGAUGAAAUAAAGACCUCGAGUAAGUUACUUUGUAUAGAUAGACCUUUUUUGAAGGGAGUUCAUUUCUAUAAGAUGGUGUUGGCGUCUUAGGGGUGCCCAAAUGAUUUAAUUUUAGUGGGUGGGCCUGGGCGGUUUAACGUGCUUAGACAUAAAUUGUUACCCUUACAUGUAACCAAUCUAAGUAGUUGAAAAAAAUGUUUUGUGAAGUAUCGUGCUUGUUAGAAAUAAAAGAGAAAGAGACAGAUGAAACGUAUAUAUAUAGGUGAAUUGAACGCAUAAACACAACACAUAAAACACCUAUAUAUAUAUAUAGGUGAGGAAUAGGGGUAGGUGAGUGUUGUGCAAGUUAGGGUAACUGAUUGAUGACCAAGAUAUCUACGUAUGGUAAGUGGGUAGGUGGAGGUGGCUACGGUAAACCCUAGUAUUAUAUACAAUAUAAUCUAACACUCCCUUCAAAACCAAGGUGGAUUAAAUGAACCAUCUUGAGUUUGGAAAUGAGAUCUCAAAAGUGGCCUGGCGGAAACGAUUUGGUGAAGACAUUUGCUAUCUGAUCAUGAGAAGUAAUGGACCGCAACUCUAAGGUCUUUUAAAGAAGAUAAUGACGAAUAAAAUAACAAUCGAUCUCAAUGUGUUUGGUGUGCUCGUGAAAAACAUCAUUGGGUGCAAUUUGGAUUGCACUCCUAUUAUCACAAUAUAUAGGAGUGGCAGUGGAUGAAGAAACUCCCAUGUACUGAAGGAGCCAAUGCAACCACAUAAGCUUUAAAGUAUUGUCAACAAGUGCCAUGUACUCAACUUCCGUACUAGAACCAGCAACCACAAUCUAUUUCUUGUUGUGCCAAGAGAUAAGUGAAUCACCAAGAAAGAAACAAAAGCCUGUGGUGGAACGACGAUUUGUAGGGUCUCCUGCCCAGUCUGCAUCUGAAUAAGCAUGGAGAACAAGUGAUGACUGAGAAGAAAAAUGAAGCCCAUGAAGCAUAGUGUCUUUGAGACAGCGAAUGAUGCAAAGAACUGCAGCAAAAUGAGUAGAUCUAGGGGCAGUCAUGAACUGACUGACAAUAUGAACAUCAUGAGAGAUAUCUGGGCAGGUAACAGUGAGAUAAACCACACUACCAACCAAUUAUUGAUACAAUGUACCAUCCCGAAGAGAUUCGUUAUCAUGUAAAUUGAGUCCGUGUUGUGCUCGAGUCGUGUAUCAACAAUCUUGUUAUCAAUUAAGCCUGCUUUUGAAAGAAGGUCUGAUAUGUAUUUUUCCUGAAUAAGGUAUUAACCGUCUGUAACUUUAGUGAUCUCAAGACCAAGAAAAUAACUAAGGGGUCUAAGAUCCUUCAUCUCGAACUGACGACUUGAAAACUGUUUAAGUUCCUUAAUUCCUGGAAUGUUUCUGAUUUUUCUCAUUUUCUAUUUUCUGGAAUUUUUCUAAUUUUUAAGGGUAUUUUCGUCUUUUCACUCUUGCUUGCAGGAUACCGUGGGGUGUGCUGGGUGUGUCCGAGGGUUAGUUGGGGCAUUCCAUCGAGUUCAGGACUCUUGGAAAUGCACCAGUUGCCAUUUUGGCAUUUUUCUGUUUUUCAAGUCGGACGGUCCCGUGUGGGACCCGCUACCGAAAUUGUCGUGUGUGGGGUUUUUAAUUGGGUCCAAUUGCAUUUCAUUCAUUUUAUUUCAUGUGUUUUAUGUGGAUAUAAUAUGGUUUGUAUGCAUAUUCAUUUGUGGUGCAAAAUAAAUGUUAAAAAGAAAAGAUUUUUUGGUGAUGGGACCUACCCACCACUAACCUUUCAUUUUUGUGGUCAAGAGGCCACAUUUGUGUGAUACCCCUCGAAUUUGAGACACGGGUUGAUCAGACCAAAGUCCAAACCUGAGGGAAUAUCAAACAAUUAAUAUUUAAAACGAACACGAAAUACAAAAAUGAAAUAAGACAUAAAUAAUUAAGAGCUGAAAUAAAUCUAAGUUUAAAAAUCCUUGAAUAAAAUAAAAUUAAAAUCCAGAAAUCCAAUCCUCCAUAAAACCUCCAAUAAAUAAACAACUCGGGAAUCCAUCUCUAGUGGACCCCUAAUAUAAAUCCAAACUGAAAUGAAACUACUAAAAGAAUAUCCAAAGUAAACCAUGGAGAGAAGUCCUACGUUGUCAGAAGAGUGAGUGAUAGUCUCUGCUCAGCACGAUCAAGCCUACGACUGGAACUGUCGUACACCUGAAAAAUAGAAGUGGGUCAGGCCCACGAACAAGUUCUAUCCUAUUACAAUCCAAGCAGAGACUCGAUACGCAUAUACAUCCUAACCAACUCAACAAUAACUAUAUAGUCCGUAUAUAUAUAUAUAUAUAUAUAUAUAUAUAUAUAUAUAUAUAUUAAUACUAAAGGACUCUCACUGGACUACAGGCCAAUUUCAACCUGAAUAGAGGCAACAUGCAAAACGCACCAAAAGUGGGCAUGUGUAUACCUAAGCCUAACAGGGUACAUCUCCAACCAUCAUAGCCAGCUAUGUAUCCCAAUGCAUAUACGCGCCCUAACCAUCGAUCCUAAGACUCAAGCUCAUAUCGAGGUACCAUAACAAAUAUAUUUAAAAUCCAUCCAGAAUCCAUAGUAGUGCCGCUCAACCAUUCGUUGCCUUAACACUACAAAUCAAUAGGAUUUAACUUUUAGUUAAUCCAUUCCUUAAUUCCAUAGUAAGUAGGACUUAGCGUUUUUUAGCUAAUCCCCCUAGUAUGCCACCGUCACAUACCGGUGCAUACAAUCCAUCCAUCUAGCAGUUGAUAAUACAGACAAGGAAUGUAAAUAUCAACUAAUCCAUACAUCCAAUAAUUGAUAAUUAAAAUAUCAAAUAUAAACAUCAAUUGUUCCAUACUAAGCAUGAUAAAACUUUGUAAUUUAACAGGCUUAUUUGAUACUACUCCGCAUAGUCCAAUAAUUGAUAAUACAGACCAUACAUGUAAAAAUCAAUUAAUUCCAAGUAAGCAUAAUAGAUUAUAUAAAUUCACAUGCUUAUUUUAUAACACUGGAGCAUAAUUAAACUAUAGAAUCAUUCUCGAAAAAUUGUUAAAAUUAUGUUGAACAAUUUAAAUUCUCCGCAUCCAAAAACAGUAUACCAAUUUGUGUAAGAAUCUUAUACUGUUCAAACUAUAAUACAAGGUGGAUUAUUAUGCACUAACAAGGCCCUUGCGAGUUUUAAAUAAGCUUAGGACACCUCUUAGAAUCUCCAGUAUAGCUUCUAAUUAAACUGGAACAUCAAAAUCCAAGUACAGAAGUAAAAUCCAUCGCUGAAAUUAAAAACAAACUGAAAAUCCACAAAGGAACAGGCUCCAAAAACGUGUAGAGCAGGCUCCAAUUUAAGGUAGAUGAGGCUUAACUUUUAGGUAGAAGAGGCUCAACUUAGGUAGAGGAGGCUCAACUUUUAGGUAGAGGAGGCUCAGCUUAGGUAGAAGAGGCUCAACUUUUAGGUAGAGGAGGCUCAACUUAGGUAAAAGAGGCUCAACUUUUAGGUAGAGUAGGCUCAACUCCCUUGGAGCCGCCUCUACAUCAUGUGGAUUGAGCCAGCUCCACUUCAAUCGAGCCGCCUCCAUUGAAGGGUGCAGGCGCCUCCACUCUUCCCAGCCUUCGUCUUCCCCGACGCCGGCUGUUUUCUGACUUUCUGAUUGUCCUUGCUAAGGUUCCGAACCUCUGUUCUAGGUUCCAGAUAGUCCCAACAAUUUAUUAAAUUCAUUAUUCAUCAAUUAACAUCAAUUAAAACAUGAAUUAUGUAAGGAAAUUUACAAACAAGCAAACACCAAUUCAUGUAAAAGCAUACUGUUAUAAUUGAAAUUAACAUGCGAACCAGAUUAAUCUUUAAUGUCUAUUUACUCCUGGAGUUAUGUAAGGCAUGUAAAGAACAUGAGUCAAAGAGAAAGAGUUAGGAAUAGAACUUGCCUUUGAGAUUUCAAUUCAAAAUCUCAGCGUCGUCUUCCUAAGGUUUCCGGCGAAUGCUCUGUCUUCUCCUUGGUUUAACCCUCGAACACACCCCUUUAAUCUUUCCUUGGUUUAGCCUUAGUCCUAGCUAAACCCUAAACAAAGUAUUAUGUUCCUCUCUGUUUCUCUCCGUCUCUCUGUGUACGUGAACAGGGUUUACAAACCUUUGGCAUACAGUUCUAUUUAUAGGCUUCACUAAAAACCCUAAUUCUAGUUUAAUUUAGAGACAGGAAAAAAACUAUUCAUAUUAUAUCUAAGUCAGCUAAAUGUGAAGAACCUAAAACCCUAAAAAAAAUAAUAAAAAAAACAAUUAAACAAUUAAAUCAAAUUUGCAUGUAAACAUAUAUUUAAGACAGAAAAUAAUUAAAACAAAUACUUAAUUAAAUAAUUCAAAUAUAUACAACAAAUAAAUAAAAUAAAUACUAUAAUUAACUCAAUUAAUUUACCACAAUUUAAACAAAUAAGCAAACAGCCAAAUAAGCCCAUAAAAAUGCAAAAAUUACAAUAAAACCAUAAAAUAAACUACCGAAACUAUCCUUUUAAAAUUAGGGGUAUUACAAUUUGGCCUCGCACUUUCUCUCUCCCCGUAAGGAUCUCUCUCCCUCACUUUUCUUCUCUUUUUCUUUUCGUUUCUUUACCAAAUUCAAGCUUAAAUUACUCUCUCAUCUUUUGGACUUUUUGGGUGCCUUUUGCGGUGAAUUGGAGAGCUCGGCGAGAUCUUCAAGUUGAUGUAAGCAAUUUCAGCUUUUGCCAUCCCUAGGAUUUUCGAGAUUUUUGGCUCAUUUUGGAAGAUUUUCAUCUAGCUUUGAGGUUUGGGAAAAGAAGUGGCAGACGAUGUUCCACCACAGGCCUAGCUUGGACUAUGGGAUUAUUUUGUUAUUUUGUAUCUAAUUCACAUGAACCUGGUGAACUCCAAUCUGUUGUAAUUAGUAAUGAAACUCAUAUAUGCUAGUAGUUGUAUUUUGUUGCAUAGAUUACAAACUUGAUGUAUCUGUCGUAUAAUUCAUGUAAAUGAUUUUGGAACUAUGUAAAGGACAUAUAAAGUUCAUCUUUUGAAUGUAUAGGAUAUGGCACAUCAUCUUGCA